GAUGAAGAACGUAGCGAAAUGCGAUACUUGGUGUGAAUAGCAGAAUCCCGUGAACCAUCGAGUCUUUGAACGCAAGUUGCGCCCGAAGCCAUCAGGUUGAGGGCACGUCUGCCUGGGCGUCACAUAUCGUUGCCCAAUGCCUAUUGCAGUGCAAUAGGAAUUUCUAGGGCGAAUGAUGGCUUCCCGUGAGCGUUGUUGCCUCGCGGUUGGUUGAAAAUCGAGUCCUUGGUAGGGUGUGCCAUGGUAGAUGGUGGUCGAGUUAGAACGAUACCGAUCAUGUGCAUGCUCCCCAAAAUAUGGCCUCUAUGACCCACACGCGUCUUUUGACGCUCAUGACGAGACCUCAGGUCAGGCGGGGCUACCCGCUGAAUUUAAGCAUAUCAAUAAGCGGAGGA
RNAcentral lists this unclassified non-coding RNA (395 nucleotides) under soil metagenome. Its description in RNAcentral is "partial contains 5.8S ribosomal RNA, internal transcribed spacer 2, and large subunit ribosomal RNA". The stretch from base 1 to 122 matches the Rfam family "5.8S ribosomal RNA", at positions 35 to 154 of the family's 154-position model. The record is from RNAcentral.